GAUGAACGCUAGCUACAGGCUUAACACAUGCAAGUCGAGGGGCAGCAUGAACUUAGCUUGCUAAGUUUGAUGGCGACCGGCGCACGGGUGAGUAACACGUAUCCAACCUUCCGUUUACUCAGGGAUAGCCUUUCGAAAGAAAGAUUAAUACCUGAUAGUAUGGUGAGAUUGCAUGAUAGCACCAUUAAAGAUUUAUUGGUAAACGAUGGGGAUGCGUUCCAUUAGGUAGUAGGCGGGGUAACGGCCCACCUAGCCGACGAUGGAUAGGGGUUCUGAGAGGAAGGCCCCCCACAUUGGAACUGAGACACGGUCCAAACUCCUACGGGAGGCAGCAGUGAGGAAUAUUGGUCAAUGGACGAGAGUCUGAACCAGCCAAGUAGCGUGCAGGAUGACGGCCCUAUGGGUUGUAAACUGCUUUUAUAAGGGAAUAAAGUGAGUCUCGUGAGACUUUUUGCAUGUACCUUAUGAAUAAGGACCGGCUAAUUCCGUGCCAGCAGCCGACGG
RNAcentral lists this ribosomal RNA (504 nucleotides) under uncultured bacterium. Its description in RNAcentral is "bacterial SSU rRNA". It matches the Rfam family "Bacterial small subunit ribosomal RNA", at positions 28 to 520 of the family's 1533-position model. The record is from RNAcentral.